RNAcentral lists this ribosomal RNA (460 nucleotides) under uncultured bacterium. Its description in RNAcentral is "partial 16S ribosomal RNA". It matches the Rfam family "Bacterial small subunit ribosomal RNA", at positions 338 to 795 of the family's 1533-position model. The record is from RNAcentral.
ACUACGGGAGGCAGCAGUGAGGAAUAUUGGUCAAUGGACGAGAGUCUGAACCAGCAAAGUAGCGUGAAGGAUGACUGCCCUAGGGGUUGUAAACUUCUUUUAUAAAGGAAUAAAAAGAGGCACGUGUGCCUUUUUGCAUGUACUUUAUGAAUAAGGAUGGGCUAACUACGUGACAGCAGCCGCGGUAAUACGGAGGAACCGAGCGUUAUCAGGAUUUAUUGGGUUUAAAGGGAGCGUAGAUGGGUUGUUAAGUCAGUUGUGAAAGUUUGCGGCUCAACCGUAAAAUUGCAAGUGAUACUGGCAGUCUUGAGUACAGUUGAGGUAAGCGGAAUUCGUGGUGUAGCGGUGAAAUGCGUAGAUAUCACGAAGAACCCCGAUUGCGAAGGCAGCUUACUAAACUGUGACUGACAUUGAUGCUCGAAAGUGUGGGUAGCAAACAGGAUUAGAUACCCCAGUAGUC